This 1609-nucleotide long non-coding RNA is filed under the name Phasianus colchicus (ring-necked pheasant). RNAcentral describes it as "lncRNA (ENSPCLG00000021890.1)". Lineage: Eukaryota; Metazoa; Chordata; Aves; Galliformes; Phasianidae. The record is from RNAcentral.
CCCGCACUUCCAUGUCAGACAUCAUUUUCUCACAUUGCCCCUCUGCUGCUACCUAUCCUACAACAACAAAAUAUAAUGGAAUAUGGGUGGGAAGGUUCAACUUCUAUUGCCAUACCACCAACAUCCACCUCUGACAACGCUGACCAAUAAAAUAGGAGGCAGUACUUUUGAAGCAGCCCUCAUGUAAUUAAUAUUCACAGCAGCUUUUUGCUUUUUCUGCAGUGCCACGACCUUUGUGUGAAUUGCCUCUUCUGGAUGAGUCAUCAAUAAAUCACUGAUUAUGUCUGUUGGCUGUGGCAGCUUUCUCUGCUGACAGAUGCCUUCAGGGAGCAGCAUCAGUUCAGGGGAGAAGCAACAGCAUGGUGGUGCUCUGCAGAUUUAGGAGCACCCCAGGCAAUUGCAAUUGUGUUCUCCACCACUGAAAACCUUGUCUAAAGGGGCAACAUUUAUUGACUAUUCUCUCAUUGCACUAAAACUGAAAGGCUUGGAGAAAAUGAUGUGCCACGGUCUACUAUCUUCUGUGAUCUAUUGCUAAUUGUAACGUCGCACACCUUGUUGUGACGUGUGACAAACACAGUAUCUUGAGUGAAGCAUGGCUGCUGUUCCACAUCUUCCAGUGUGGUUGACUGUGAAGGGAAGGCCCAGCCCUGUCUACACAGGACCUGCUGAAUGAAGGAUGUUUUGCCCCUUACCUGCCUAAAAACCAGAUUAAGGCUUUCUAGCUACCUCCAGUCAUUUAGCAGGAGCCUUGAGUCCCAUCUUGCUGUCUUGAAUUGAGAUGUUGCAGUAAUAUCAGUGCCUGAAGUUAGGAACAGUCUCCUUACAGCUGCAGCAGAGGGAUCAGUCAGUCAGCUAUCGUCAAAACAAGCUGCAUGGAUAAAGCCUUACACAAAGUGACAGAAAACAGGGCACUGAGACAACAUGCUUAUCCAGCACUUCAGCCUAUGAAGUAUUUACCUGGACAAGCAAGAAUAGUAUCCGUUCCCUGGUCUGUAGCACAAAGUGGAACGACGGUGGAACCAUUUCAAAGUCAACUAUUCAGAAGAAGAAACCAUGGUGAAGGAAGUCCAGAAGGAGGCACCUAGUGCUACCAUAUUACUUGACUAGGAACAGAGAGCAGAGGGCACCAAGGUACAGAGAGUCAAUACAAACAAGGCUGUUAUGUUUUCUGUGGCCAAAGUUGCAUUGGCAUGGUCAUCUCUGCACAGCAGUGUAUGGCGGUGACAUCAUUAGUCAACUUUUUGACUAGAGCUCUUCGAACAGAUCCAGCUCUUUUAUCUCCACUGUUUUUACCAUGUCUCUGAAUGUCGGAAAAUAUGUUCUCAUCCCUCUUAAAAGAGAAACAGAAAACUGGAUCUUGAAUUUGUCUAAUUUCCUUGCUGGUAGCGUGAUCAACAUACAUCAGUGAACUUCUGACCAUCACACUGUUUAAUUGCUGCAGAAAAGCAGCCGUUCCCUUCCUGAAGCAGCACAGAGUUCCAUUUCACCUGGAUGCACACGAGCCUGUUUUCAGGCUUCAAAAUUUUUAACUGCACAGAUCACAAAAAACAAAAACAAAACAAAAAACAAACAAACAAAAAAAAGCUGUAAAUUCGAUGUUAUUCCUGCU